This 253-nucleotide ribosomal RNA is filed under the name uncultured bacterium. RNAcentral describes it as "partial 16S ribosomal RNA". It matches the Rfam family "Bacterial small subunit ribosomal RNA", at positions 524 to 776 of the family's 1533-position model. The record is from RNAcentral.
UACGUAGGGGCUGAGCGUUGUCCGGAAUCAUUGGGCGUAAAGCGCGUGUAGGCGGUCCGGUAAGUCCGCUGUGAAAGUCAAAGGCUCAACCUUUGAAAGCCGAUGGAUACUGCGGAGCUAGAGUACGGAAGAGGCGAGUGGAAUUCCUGGUGUAGCGGUGGAAUGCGCAGAUAUCAGGAGGAACACCAAUAGCGAAGGCAGCUCGCUGGGACGUUACUGACACUGAGGCGCGAAAGCGUGGGGAGCGAACAGG